Non-coding RNA from Myodes glareolus (Bank vole), 786 nucleotides. The record is from RefSeq and is a predicted model, not a curated record. Lineage: Eukaryota; Metazoa; Chordata; Mammalia; Rodentia; Cricetidae.
AGCUGGGUCUUUCCUUACCUGGGAGCGCUGUGGUUCCAGGGCCUCGGUCAGGUGGGAAGCCCUAAAGCAGCUCUCCAGCAAAGACGCCAUCUGUCCCCCUCUGCCAUGCUAAAUAAAUUGGCUUCUUGGCUGGGGCACACCCAAGUUCCCCACUUUUCCCAGCAUCUACUCACCAUUUCUACUGCCCUCCGACCUUGAGGACCUUAAUGACUCCCAAAGGCAAGAGGAAUUGAACAACAGGGCAAGCCAAGCUAUUGGAUUCCAGAAGCCCUCCCCAGUUACUCAUGGAGAAACACUACUGCCUCCCAUGGAGUCUCUUGACUUUGUGGGGCUACUCAAUUUACAUAUUGUUGCAAGAGGAUCAUUAUCACAAGAUCACAUGUUACACAACCCCAAUGUCCAGUGAAGAAUCAUCAUCAGGAUCCGACGUGUCUAGUGCUUCUUCUGUACCUCUUCAGAGCCUGGCUUGGUGUGGGCACCUGCCAACCAAACAUUCAAGCAUUCAAGAGGCUGGGUGGAGGGUGACGCUGACGAUGUUGCUCAUGUGUUCAAGGUCAGACUGAGCUAUAUAAUGGGGUUCUGUCUCAACAAAACAGAAGAAAAUGAAGAUGAUAGAAGAAGAGAAAGGGGAACAGGAGGAAGUGGAGGGAAAAGAAGAGUAGGAAGAGGAAGAGAAAAUAGAAUGAGGAAGAGGAAGAGAAAGUGAUACAGACUUUGUCUAACUCAAGACCUAUGGAAUUAUCAAGCUACAUGUUUAAUGGGAUCUCCAAGUGAUAUCUAUGCCCA